UAUUUGCAUUAUUUUUUUCAUAAUUUCUUAUUUGAGAUUUGUAUUAAACAAUCUAUUUUAGAUGAUAAUGAAGGCCAUGUUGGAGGCAGUAUGGGUUAUCACCUGUAAUGCUCUAAUGGAUGGAAUAUGUAUCAUUUCCUUAAUUUUGAAAAAUUAAUUCAUGAAAGAUUUUUUUUCAAAUUUUAGAAUUGAUUUUUACACCUCUGUGCUUAUUAUUGUAGAAGCAGACAUAAUUUUCACAGAAUAGAGUAUAAUUGGCAAAAAUAUAAAGAAUAGAGAAAAAUGGACGAAAAAAUAAAGAAUAGAGAAUAAUGAGUUGCUAAAAUAUAAUGGACAGAGAAUAUAACGGGCUAAAAAAAUAAAGAAUACAGAAAUGAAGGACCCCCAUCCAGACCCUCUCAUAUUGGCAAAGUUGAUGAGGAGAUUUAUGAAAUGUUAUACCACGAAGACAAACCGAUGAGAAAAGUUCAAGCAGAAGCUUUGAACUAUCAAAUUGGAAUAUGUUAGUAUACUGCAUGAAUUAGACCAGCUACUUAACCCUAACAUGAGUAUAACAGGCUGUCCGAGUCAACAGAUAGCUGGUAUUGUCGCGAAUGUAUACUUCCUAAUUUUACAGAUUCGUAUUUUGAAUUUGAAUCUGAAUUUUGCUCAGAUGAACAAUCAAACACACACUUAGAAGAAGCUACUUCCGGUGUACACAAAAAACACGUUUCAGCAACUGAGGGAUUCUAGACGUAAUCACCACAAGAACUUUAUAGCUGCUUUCUUAAAUAUAAAUAGCCUGAGGUAAAAACUUAAUGAAAUACAAGACCUAUUACAUGACAAAAUCGUAGAUCUGAUAUUUAUAGCCGAGACGAAACUUGAUGAGACUUUCAAUGAUAGUUUAUUUAUGGUUGAAGGCUACAAACUCUUUAGACGUGACCGAACCGAAGUCUGGAGGAGGUAUGCUUGCCCUUAUAAGUAGUGACAUCCCGUCAAGUAGACAGCAACAAAUUGAGUCCAAAGACCUUGAAAACAUUUCCAUUGAGGUCCACAUCAACGACAGAAAAUGGCUAAUAAUGGGAAUGUAUAAACCACCAUCAGUGACUGAUUUUUUAAUGAUACAUUUUCAAAAAACUUAGAUCAGUGUCUAGUAAAAUAUGAAAAUUAUAUGAUUUUUGGUGACCUUAA
Long non-coding RNA from Mytilus californianus (California mussel), 1170 nucleotides. RefSeq lists it as uncharacterized. The transcript has 2 exons. Lineage: Eukaryota; Metazoa; Mollusca; Bivalvia; Mytilida; Mytilidae. The record is from RefSeq and is a predicted model, not a curated record.